This 190-nucleotide unclassified non-coding RNA is filed under the name uncultured Polyporales. Its description in RNAcentral is "sequence contains ITS2". The record is from RNAcentral. Lineage: Eukaryota; Fungi; Basidiomycota; Agaricomycetes; Polyporales.
AAACCAUCAACCCCUCCGUCGUCGACGGUUGGGAUUGGACUUGGACGCUUUUGCCGUGAUUUGUUUUGCGGCUCGUCUCAAAUGCAUUAGUCGACUCUGCUGGUCCGCCUUUUGACGUGAUAGACAUCAACGUCGAGGCGUUUCGGCUUGUGAGCGGCUCACAACCGUCUUAGGACAAAACAUUUUCACA